This 739-nucleotide long non-coding RNA is filed under the name Homo sapiens (human). RNAcentral describes it as "non-protein coding lnc-DUSP22-4:1". The record is from RNAcentral. Lineage: Eukaryota; Metazoa; Chordata; Mammalia; Primates; Hominidae.
CGGGUCCUCAGUGCCGUUUACCAAGGCCGACAAAGUCCAGCGGCAUUAUCGUGUCAUCGUGACAUCGCCUCCCUUCCAGAUGCCUGGGGUUUGCUGCUUGGAACCAAGCACCGUAGUCAUCUCCUCUCCCCUGCCCUUCCUGUUCCUCUGAAGCUGAAGUCACUUCCCUGGAUGAUGCCUGGAUAGAAGCAGUGCCCAUUUCACCUGUUGGCAGAAGCUUGUUUUUAGCCACAUCAGGCUCUCUAGCCCUCCCCACCCAGGACUUUGCUGACUCAAAGGCCGGAUUGCUCUGUCCACAGUCUCCAGCACCCCCCGCUCCCUCUCUUGCUGGAGCCAUGCUGGGUACCCAGAAACCUCAUGCCCAGUCUUGGCCCAUCUUCCCAAAUUACUAUUUCCAUUUUUUCUUUCCUGGUAAUUUCUUUACCCUGUAGCCAUCCCCCCAUUACUACUGUACCUCGAGUCCCCUGGGGCUUCAGAGAAAGUCUGCUAACAACAGAAAAGGCAGAAGCCCUGAGCCCGCAUCACUCUGAUCCUAAAGGAGGAGGAGAGCUCCUUAGUGGCUGCAGCCUGUUUAACUUUUGUCUGCUUUCACAUGACUUCAGGACUCUGAAAGAUCAAGCAAAAACCAGGAUCUUGGCACAGAACAAAAGUGAAAUGGCAUUUUUGCCCAAAUAUUAAUAAACGCAAAUGCACACCCCUGUUGUCCCUGUUGGACAUGCUGGGGGACCGUGGAUUUUCU